AGAGAGAUGGCCGAAGUACAGGCAGUAGAUUGUAAAUCUUCUUAUGGGCUACCCUCUCUCUA
Molecule: transfer RNA, 62 nt
Filed under: Ligia oceanica (common sea slater)
Lineage: Eukaryota; Metazoa; Arthropoda; Malacostraca; Isopoda; Ligiidae
Description: tRNA-Tyr
Source: RNAcentral